GAAGGGUCUUCCUAACAAGAUGUGGGAAGGGUUUGGCGAUGUAUCAUCUUCCAUAUCCACAAUGUAAAAAUCUACAGGAAAAAUUAGUUCGUUCACCUGCACUAAGACAUCUUCAAUUACCCCUCGGGGGUAGGUGUUAGUACGAUCUGCCAAUUGGAUAAUCACACCAGUAUUUUUCAAAGGGCCUAGAUUUUAGGAGGCAUAAACAGAUAAAGGCAUAACAUUAAUUGAAGCUCUUAAAUCUAGC
Molecule: long non-coding RNA, 247 nt
Filed under: Panax ginseng (ginseng)
Lineage: Eukaryota; Viridiplantae; Streptophyta; Magnoliopsida; Apiales; Araliaceae
Description: long non-coding RNA (PGIN_LNC008768)
Source: RNAcentral